RNAcentral lists this ribosomal RNA (1173 nucleotides) under uncultured bacterium. RNAcentral's name for it is "bacterial SSU rRNA". It matches the Rfam family "Bacterial small subunit ribosomal RNA", at positions 211 to 1382 of the family's 1533-position model. The record is from RNAcentral.
CCUCACGCGAUGAGAUGAGCCGAUGCCGGAUUAGCUAGUUGGCGGGGUAAAGGCCCACCAAGGCGACGAUCCGUAGCUGGUCUGAGAGGAUGAUCAGCCACACUGGAACUGAGACACGGUCCAGACUCCUACGGGAGGCAGCAGUGGGGAAUAUUGGACAAUGGGCGCAAGCCUGAUCCAGCCAUGCCGCGUGUGUGAAGAAGGCCUUCGGGUUGUAAAGCACUUUUGUUGGGGAAGAAACCGGCCGGACUAAUACUCCGGUUGAAUGACGGUACCCAAAGAAUAAGCACCGGCUAACUUCGUGCCAGCAGCCGCGGUAAUACGUAGGGUGCGAGCGUUAAUCGGAAUUACUGGGCGUAAAGCGUGCGCAGGCGGUUUUGUAAGACCGAUGUGAAAUCCCCGGGCUUAACCUGGGAACUGCAUUGGUGACUGCAAAGCUUGAGUGUGUCAGAGGGAGGUGGAAUUCCGCGUGUAGCAGUGAAAUGCGUAGAUAUGCGGAGGAACACCGAUGGCGAAGGCAGCCUCCUGGGAUAACACUGACGCUCAUGCACGAAAGCGUGGGGAACAAACAGGAUUAGAUACCCUGGUAGUCCACGCCCUAAACGAUGUCUACUAGUUGUCGGGGAUUAAUUUCCUUGGUAACGCAGCUAACGCGUGAAGUAGACCGCCUGGGGAGUACGGUCGCAAGAUUAAAACUCAAAGGAAUUGACGGGGACCCGCACAAGCGGUGGAUGAUGUGGAUUAAUUCGAUGCAACGCGAAAAACCUUACCUACGCUUGACAUGUCUGGAAUCCCGUAGAGAUAUGGGAGUGCUCGAAAGAGAGCCAGAACACAGGUGCUGCAUGGCUGUCGUCAGCUCGUGUCGUGAGAUGUUGGGUUAAGUCCCGCAACGAGCGCAACCCUUAUCAUUAGUUGCUACGAAAGGGCACUCUAAUGAGACUGCCGGUGACAAACCGGAGGAAGGUGGGGAUGACGUCAAGUCCUCAUGGCCCUUAUGCGUAGGGCUUCACACGUCAUACAAUGGUCGGUACAGAGGGUUGCCAAGCCGCGAGGUGGAGCCAAUCCCAGAAAGCCGAUCGUAGUCCGGAUUGUUCUCUGCAACUCGAGAGCAUGAAGUCGGAAUCGCUAGUAAUCGCGGAUCAGCAUGUCGCGGUGAAUACGUUCCCGGGUCUU